RNAcentral lists this ribosomal RNA (1478 nucleotides) under uncultured Bordetella sp. RNAcentral's name for it is "partial 16S-23S ribosomal RNA intergenic spacer". It matches the Rfam family "Bacterial small subunit ribosomal RNA". The record is from RNAcentral. Lineage: Bacteria; Pseudomonadati; Pseudomonadota; Betaproteobacteria; Burkholderiales; Alcaligenaceae.
UAGUAACAGAGGGUCGAUUAUGGCUCAGAUUGAACGCUGGCGGGAUGCUUUACACAUGCAAGUCGGAACGGCAGCACGGACUUCGGUCUGGUGGCGAGUGGCGAACGGGUAGCAAUGUAUCGGAACGUGCCUAGUAGCGGGGGAUAACUACGCGAAAGCAGUAGCUAAUACCGCAUACGCCCUUCGGGGAAAGCGGGGGACCUUCGCUUCCGCACUAUUAGAGUGGCCUAUAUUCGAUUAGCUAGUUGGUGGGGUAACGGCUCACCAAGGCGACGAUCCGUAGCUGGUUUGAGAGGACGCAUCAGCCACACUGGGACCGAGACACGGCCCAGACUUACGGGAAAGGCAGGGAAAUUUUGGACAAUGGGGGAAACCCUGAUCCAGCCAUCCCGCGUGCGAUGAAGGCCUUCGGUUGGUAAAGCACUUUGGCAGAAGAAACGGCACGGGAUAAUACCCCGUGCAACUGACGGUACCUGCAGAACAAGCACCGGCUACGCAACACAGCAGCCGCGAAUACGUAGGCGCAAGCGUUAAUCGGAAUUACUGGGCGUAAAGCGUGCGCAGGCGGUUCGGAAAGAAAGAUGUGAAAUCCCAGAGCUUUAACUUUGAACUGCAUUUUUAACUACCAGCUGAGUGUGCUUUGGGAGGGAGGUGGAAUUCGCGUAGCAGUGAAAUGCGUAGAUAUGCGGAGGAACACUGAUGGCGAAGGCAGCCUCCUGGGAUAACACUGACGCCUAUGCACGAAAGCGUAAGCAAACAGGAUUAGAUGAACUGGCGGUCCACGCCCUAAACGAUGUCAACUAGCUGUUGGGGCCUUCGGGCCUUGGUAGCGCAGCUAACGGGUGAAGUUGACCGCCUGGGGAGUACGGUCGCAAAGAUUAAAACUCAAAGGAAUUGACGGGGACUCCGCACAAGCGGCAGAUGAUGUGAUUAACGACGUAAUCACAAAAACCUUACCUACCCUUGACAUGUCUGCAACCUGAAGAGAUUUGAGCGUUCGCAAGAGAACCGGAACACAGGUGUUGCAUGGCUGUCGUCAGCUCGCUCAUGAGAUGUUGGGGUUAAGUCCCGCAACGAGCGGCAACCCUUUGUCAUUAGUUGCUACGAAAGGGCACUCUAAUGAGAGACUGCCGGUGACAAAUCCGGAGGAACGUGUAUGACGUGUCAAGUCCCCAUGGCCCUAUGGGUAGGGCUUCACACGUCAUACAAUGGUCGGGACACGAGGGCUGCCAACCCGCGAGGGGGGAGCCAAUCCCAGAAACCCGAUCGUAGUCCGGAUCGUGGUCUGCAACUCGACUGCGUGAAGUCGGAAUCGCUAGUAAUCGCGGAUCAGCAUGUCGCGGUGAAUACGUUCCCGGGUCUUGUACACACCGCCCGUCACACCAUGGGGAGGCUUUACCAGAAGUAGUUAGCCUAACCGUAAGGAGGGCGAUUACCACGGUAGGAUUCAUGACUGGGGUGAAGUUGUAACAAGGUAA